GAUGAAGAACGUAGCGAAAUGCGAUAAGUAAUGUGAAUUGCAGAAUUCAGUGAAUCAUCGAAUCUUUGAACGCACAUUGCGCCCGCUGGUAUUCCGGCGGGCAUGCCUGUUCGAGCGUCAUUUCAACCCUCAAGCUCUCCGGAGUUUGGUGUUGGGGCGCCUGGGGCUUUUCGACCUCAGGGCCCUCAAGUCCAUCGGCGGGACCGCCAGGACACUGAGCGCAGUAGUAUUAUUUCGCUCGGUAGGAUCUUCCACGGCGGGUCGAUCUGGCCGCUAAACCCCCCAAUUCUCACCAACGGUUGACCUCGGAUCAGGUAGGAAUACCCGCUGAACUUAAGCAUAUCAAUAAGCGGAGGA
RNAcentral lists this unclassified non-coding RNA (357 nucleotides) under soil metagenome. RNAcentral describes it as "partial contains 5.8S ribosomal RNA, internal transcribed spacer 2, and large subunit ribosomal RNA". The stretch from base 1 to 120 matches the Rfam family "5.8S ribosomal RNA", at positions 35 to 154 of the family's 154-position model. The record is from RNAcentral.